Long non-coding RNA from Mauremys mutica (yellowpond turtle), 378 nucleotides. RefSeq lists it as uncharacterized. Lineage: Eukaryota; Metazoa; Chordata; Testudines; Geoemydidae. The record is from RefSeq and is a predicted model, not a curated record. The transcript is spliced from 3 exons.
CCACGCGGCUCUGAGCGGGACGAAGCUCAGGCCUCGCCGGAGACGCGCUCGGCUCUGCACCCCUUUGUGGUGAGGAGAAAUCCUGGGACGAGAAGCAGCCUGACUCCUGCAUGAAGAGGAUGCCUAUCAGCAGUGAUCGUCAGCCCUUCUGCACUGAAUGAGGCAUCCAGAUCAAUCUCUGAACCCGAGGAUCAUUCGCUGAGCUAAUUUUCCUUGCAAGCUGCCCUGGUGACCCUGCCAGGAAGAAGCGAAGGGGUGGAGGCACCAUCAAAUAAAUUUAUAUGGGAAGAAAUUAAGGAAGUUGCACCCUGAUGAGAAGGAGGCAGGAUGCAGAAGAACCCAGGCCUGUCCAUCAAAACCCAUAAGGAGAUGGUGCUA